AACGCCAUGGCAAUGCCGACCACACGCCGAGAACAGCUUCGGCUUUCUUCACCUUCGAGCUAGGACAAGACGAUGAAUCCCAUGGUCUCCGGUCACGGCUACCGUCCUUCUCCCCCACCCCGCCCUCCUUCCCUCCCUCCGGCGUCGUUCCCCUUCCCUUACUUUCUAUUGCUGUAGUCCCCCAUCCCCUUUCUGUAGCUUGGUCCGUUCAUGUCCUCCGGUCGCCGCCUCACUAUUCCAGCCGGCGGCCCCGUUCCCUCCCUCAGCCGCCGCCCUUGCUCUAUCUCUUCGACAGCCUCUCCUCCCGCACACUUCCCCUACUAGCGUACCUCCAUCCAUCCCCUGCUCUGGAACCUCUUGGGGUUGCACUGGCGGCAGCAGCGCCCGUCUUCGAGUAAGGAGAUGGAGGUCGUAGACGCGCAACGGAGGUGGCGCCAGCUUGCGUCGUCGGUCCAGGCCGUGGUUCGGUGCCUCCUUCCGUCCGGAAGCGAACCGGCGCCGGCGUUCGUCUAAUUGUUUCGUCUCCACCUCGGUACCUCCACAGGAGACAACAUAGGUAAUUUUCUUUUGUUGAUUAUUACGAUUGGGGCAUAGUUGAUUUAUAUGUACUUCUCAUCUUUGUUGAUGAUGCAAGUAGUUUAGACCAAUUUUGCUCCUGUAUCUGACCGUCGAUGUGUGUACAGUGUACAUGCUACAAAUGUGCUUGUUCAGAAUUAACAAUAAGAGUGGUGAAAGACAAUGAAUUUCAAUUGAAUACCUUUCGUUACAAGUUUUUAUAAAAGUACUUGGAACUAGCAAGUCAAAACAUAAAGAGUAUGAAUCUCGUAACACAUUGAUUAAGUUGGCUUCUGUUGAUAGAAGUAGGCUUGAUUUUGUCCUGUCAUUGUACUAGCCCUCGAGGUACCAAUGGCUGGCUGCAUUAAGGGAUGCAUAGCUGAGUUGAACUGUGUCUGUUGCAAAUAGGUAUAGUUCUGAUUUGUCGGAACUCCUGGAUCACUUUGUCCCUAUGAAAAUAUGUAACAAAGCUUAGUAAGUCUUAAGUUUUAAGAUGAUAAAACUUAACAUUGUUGAAUUUGAACUGCUGUACCAUUAGUGCACUGUAUGAUUGCGAUUCAUUGGGAUGGUACACUCCUAGAGUGCCUUGACCCUAUAAACAGAAGUAGCAAAUCUCAGCGUCACCAAAGUUUUAAGAUUUUAGCACUGAAAUUAUUGAUUGUAGGCUGGUAUACCAUUAAUGUAUUGUAUGGAUGUAAUCCAUUGGGAUGGUAGACUCCUGCAGCGCCUUGACCCUAUAAAAAGAAAUAUGAAAGCUCAGUGUCACCGUAGUUUUAAGAUGAUAAAGCUUAACAUGGUUGAUUGUAUACUGAUGUACCAUUAGUGUAUUGUAAGGCUGUAAUUCUGCACACAAUCUUUGGUUUUGUGUUGACAUGGGGAUGGUACCAACUGAUGGCUGCAUUGGAGCAUUUAUGAUUGGGCUGUACUGUAACUUAUAUGUACUGCCUGGAUGGUCGCCACGUAUGCAGGGAACACCGAUGGGAGCAGUUCGUGGGAACAGGCAAGCCCCGUCCUUCCGAGUCUAUCUAAUGCGCCUAUCCCGUUAUCAUUGAGUUGGUGCAGGGCGUGCCAUGAAAAUACCUGAAAUUUAAUGUAAAGUUGUGUAUAGGUUGUUGCUAAGUUGUCCGCUGAAAAUUGUUAAGUUGCUGAUCUAGUGAGGUAUCACAGUCCUUUUGUGUGAAAAUGAAUGCACUCGAACAUGAUAGUAUAUCCUUCUAAUGAUGCUCAACUUUAAUGUCAAUAUGUCUACUAGUUCUUAAGUUGUCUACUGGUUGUCCUUAAUUUUCUAUUUUCUUUGAUAGCGGUGGUAAUGUGUUGAAUGGCUUGGAUUCCAUCGUUUUAAGACUAUGUUGUUUCCACUUCACCAUGGUUUGGUUGAAAAUGGUGGCUCAAGCACGGCAGGAAGACCUAGACGAGAUGGUUCCUGGUGGAGCGAUCGAGCUUGGCAUCCUGUACGUAGAAGCGGUGGAUCCCGGGUGAUGCAGCUGGUACCAUCUCGAGUAAGGCGGUGGGAGAGCACAACAACUAGCUCGAGGCGGUGGCAGCAAGCACAACGCAUAGCUUGAGCCGGUCGCGGCGGUCCCGAUACCUAGCGCGAGCACUAGCUCGAGCCAGUCGCGGCCCCUGACCAACGAGCAAGGAGGAAGUAGUUGCUUUUUGGACCAGGAGAUAUCUGUAUAAGAACAAGGAUGGUGCUUGAUCUUCUUGAAGCAAUUAACAGCCAAUUGUGGAGCUUUACUUUCUUCAUUGUUAGAGUUCUCUUUUAUUUUUCAACCAACUUUGUUAUUUGUCAACUAAUUGUCAAGUUGCAUAUUUGUAUAUAGCUCUGUAUUGUUGAUAUUUUGAACAACGACAAAGGAGAACUAUUAAUCGCAGUUUCCUUUUCUA
Lolium perenne is the source of this 2442-nucleotide long non-coding RNA. RefSeq lists it as uncharacterized. NCBI's taxonomy places the organism in Eukaryota, Viridiplantae, Streptophyta, Magnoliopsida, Poales, Poaceae. The record is from RefSeq and is a predicted model, not a curated record.